GUGUCCUACGGGGGGCAGCAGUGAGGAAUAUUGGUCAAUGGUCGGGAGACUGAACCAGCCAAGCCGCGUGAGGGAAGACGGCCCUAUGGGUUGUAAACCUCUUUUGUCGGAGAACAAAACCCGGGACGUGUCCCGGACUGCGUGUAUCCGAAGAAAAAGCAUCGGCUAACUCCGUGCCAGCAGCCGCGGUAAUACGGAGGAUGCGAGCGUUAUCCGGAUUUAUUGGGCGUAAAGGGAACGCAGGCGGUCUUUUAAGUCUGAUGUGAAAGCCUUCGGCUUAACCGGAGUAGUGCAUUGGAAACUGG
RNAcentral lists this ribosomal RNA (305 nucleotides) under uncultured bacterium. RNAcentral describes it as "bacterial SSU rRNA". It matches the Rfam family "Bacterial small subunit ribosomal RNA", at positions 334 to 636 of the family's 1533-position model. The record is from RNAcentral.